RNAcentral lists this ribosomal RNA (415 nucleotides) under uncultured Leptolinea sp. Its description in RNAcentral is "bacterial SSU rRNA". It matches the Rfam family "Bacterial small subunit ribosomal RNA", at positions 953 to 1382 of the family's 1533-position model. Lineage: Bacteria; Bacillati; Chloroflexota; Anaerolineae; Anaerolineales; Anaerolineaceae. The record is from RNAcentral.
GAGGCUACACGAAGAACCUUACCAGGGUUUGACAUGCAAGUGGUAGGAAUCCGAAAGGUGACCGACCCUUCGGGGAGCUUGCACAGGUGCUGCAUGGCUGUCGUCAGCUCGUGUCGUGAGAUGUUCGGUUAAGUCCGCUAACGAGCGCAACCCUCGUCGUGUGUUAUACGUGUCACACGAUACUGCCGGUAUCAAGCCGGAGGAAGUGGGGAUGAUGUCAAGUCAGCAUGGCCUUUAUAUCCUGGGCUACACACACGCUACAAUGGCAGAUACAAUAGGUUGCGAAACCGCGAGGUGGAGCCAAUCCUCAAAGUCUGUCUCAGUUCAGAUUGUAGGCUGCAACUCGCCUGCAUGAAGUUGGAGUUGCUAGUAAACGCAGGUCAGCUAUACUGCGUUGAAUACGUUCCCGGGGUUU